CUUAUCCAGAGUGGCGGAGGGACCGGCCCGAUGAAACCACGGCAACCUGCGAUGCAAGGUGCCAAUUCCGGCGGAAACGCAAGAUGA
RNAcentral lists this non-coding RNA (87 nucleotides) under human gut metagenome. RNAcentral describes it as "SAM riboswitch (S box leader)". It matches the Rfam family "SAM riboswitch aptamer (S box leader)". Rfam says of the family: The SAM riboswitch is found upstream of a number of genes which code for proteins involved in methionine or cysteine biosynthesis in Gram-positive bacteria. The SAM riboswitch acts at the level of transcription termination control. The record is from RNAcentral. RNAcentral also lists the same sequence under 1 other name.